GAUGAACGCUAGCUACAGGCUUAACACAUGCAAGUCGAGGGGAAACGACAUCGAAAGCUUGCUUUUGAUGGGCGUCGACCGGCGCACGGGUGAGUAACGCGUAUCCAACCUGCCCGCCACUUGGGGAUAACCUUGCGAAAGUAAGACUAAUACCCAAUGAUAUCCCACGAAGGCAUCCGAAUGGGAUUAAAGAUUUAUCGGUGAUGGAUGGGGAUGCGUCUGAUUAGCUUGUUGGCGGGGUAACGGCCCACCAAGGCAACGAUCAGUAGGGGUUCUGAGAGGAAGGUCCCCCACAUUGGAACUGAGACACGGUCCAAACUCCUACGGGAGGCAGCAGUGAGGAAUAUUGGUCAAUGGGCGAGAGCCUGAACCAGCCAAGUAGCGUGCAGGACGACGGCCCUAUGGGUUGUAAACUGCUUUUAUAAGGGAAUAAAGUGGGUCUCGUGAGACUUUUUGCAUGUACCUUAUGAAUAAGGACCGGCUAAUUCCGUG
This 492-nucleotide ribosomal RNA is filed under the name uncultured bacterium. Its description in RNAcentral is "bacterial SSU rRNA". It matches the Rfam family "Bacterial small subunit ribosomal RNA", at positions 28 to 507 of the family's 1533-position model. The record is from RNAcentral.